GACGAACGCUGGCGGCGUGCUUAACACAUGCAAGUCGAACGGAAAGGCCCUGCUUUUGUGGGGUGCUCGAGUGGCGAACGGGUGAGUAACACGUGAGUAACCUGCCCUUGACUUUGGGAUAACUUCAGGAAACUGGGGCUAAUACCGGAUAGGAGCUCCUGCUGCAUGGUGGGGGUUGGAAAGUUUCGGCGGUUGGGGGUGGACUCGCGGCUUAUCAGCUUGUUGGUGGGGUAGUGGCUUACCCAGGCUUUGACGGGUAGCCGGCAUGAGAGGGUGACCGGCCACAUUGGGCCUGCGAUAGGGCCCAGACUCCUACGGGAGGCAGCAGUGGGGAAUAUUGCACAAUGGGCGGAAGCCUGAUGCAGCAACGCCGCGUGCGGGAUGACGGCCUUCGGGUUGUAAACCGCUUUCGCCUGUGACGAAGCGUGAGUGACGGUAAUGGGUAAAGAAGCACCGGCUAACUACGUG
This 468-nucleotide ribosomal RNA is filed under the name uncultured bacterium. RNAcentral's name for it is "partial 16S ribosomal RNA". It matches the Rfam family "Bacterial small subunit ribosomal RNA", at positions 28 to 507 of the family's 1533-position model. The record is from RNAcentral.